UUUGACUCAAGUGACAAGCAGCAGGCACUAGGCAGUCUGCAAGUUUUUAUUCAUAUUUUUAAAUUAAACAAAAAAAAAGAAAGUAAAUUUAUAUUAAUGUUCCUCGUUUUUGAAAGAAAAAAAGGAACAAUGAGUCAAUGACGGAUUUGACGUCGGUGCCAGUCUGCAAGAUUGGUGUCAUGGUGUGAAACUUGGAAGAUUCAUACAAUAAUUUAAAAAACAAAGUUAAAUACUAAAAUAAGCAAAAGGAAAUAAAUAUAAACAAAAUAAACAAAAAAAAUUACAAAAUUGUAAAAAGCCCACAAUAAAAAAAAACCGAACUAAUAAAAACCGAACCGAAAUAACAUAAACCGAACCGAAAUAAUAAAAACCGAACC
Molecule: long non-coding RNA, 377 nt
Filed under: Solanum tuberosum (potato)
Lineage: Eukaryota; Viridiplantae; Streptophyta; Magnoliopsida; Solanales; Solanaceae
Description: long non-coding RNA (STUB_LNC004557)
Source: RNAcentral